AUAUUAUAAUAUUAAAAGUUAUAUAUUUUAAAUUUCGCAUCCCAAUAUCUGUAGGUACAAGUAUUGAUAAAACAUUGAACCUGGCACCACUGACGCAGACGUUUAAUUUUUUGGUUGUCAACAAACGUGAAGCAGGAAGAAGAAGACGAAGCACGAAAAAAUCGGUGUGGUUGCGGUCCAGCAAAUUUGUGCGCUAUUUCGUCAGAUUCGCGCGGAACUUAGUUUUCAACACAGUCCGGGAGACGGAACUAAGUUUUGUUCAGCAGUCGCAAUGUUUGUGCGGCAGUUCUGUGAGCGUUCCGUUAGUUCCAGUCAGGAACUAGACCGAUCUUUGAAGCGGCUGGAUGAAGAUGUAAAACGCCCUGGAAGAAUUUCAGGCCGAGAUCUGGAAGAUGUUCUAGAGGAAAUGAGAAUUAACCGUUUCGCUUCCAGCGCUCAAUAUUAACUGGUUAUUCGUUGUUGCGGUAACCUAGUUCCAGAAGAGCUUCCCGAGGUGCGUAUAGCUCUGGUUCAGGAGAUAUGGAAAACGUAGAACAGCUUGAACGUAGCAAUGGACAUUUCCCACUACAACGCCCUUCUUCGGGUGUAUUUGGAUAAUGAGCACUCCUUCUCGCCAACGGAAUUUCUGGCGGAUCUGCAACCCAAGGGCGUUGAACCGAACCAGGUCACCUAUCAGCGAUUAAUUUCGCGCUACUGCCAAUAAGGAGCAACCAACAUCCUGGAAUUCCUGCGAGAGAAGCAGCUUCCAGUUAAUAAAUACGUUUUCA
Molecule: long non-coding RNA, 767 nt
Organism: Uranotaenia lowii
Lineage: Eukaryota; Metazoa; Arthropoda; Insecta; Diptera; Culicidae
Exons: 3
Source: RefSeq, a predicted model, not a curated record